This 2368-nucleotide ribosomal RNA is filed under the name Streptomyces actuosus. Its description in RNAcentral is "partial 23S ribosomal RNA". It matches the Rfam family "Bacterial large subunit ribosomal RNA", at positions 695 to 2925 of the family's 2925-position model. Lineage: Bacteria; Bacillati; Actinomycetota; Actinomycetes; Kitasatosporales; Streptomycetaceae. The record is from RNAcentral.
UGGAGUAGCACGCUCAAGACCCGAAGCGGAGUGAUCUAGCCAUGGGCAGGUUGAAGCGGAGGUAAGACUUCGUGGAGGACCGAACCCACCAGGGUUGAAAACCUGGGGGAUGACCUGUGGUUAGGGGUGAAAGGCCAAUCAAACUCCGUGAUAGCUGGUUCUCCCCGAAAUGCAUUUAGGUGCAGCGUCGUGUGUUUCUUGCCGGAGGUAGAGCACUGGAUAGGCGAUGGGCCCUACCGGGUUACUGACCUUAGCCAAACUCCGAAUGCCGGUAAGUGAGAGCGCGGCAGUGAGACUGUGGGGGAUAAGCUCCAUGGUCGAGAGGGAAACAGCCCAGAGCAUCGACUAAGGCCCCUAAGCGUACGCUAAGUGGGAAAGGAUGUGGAGUCGCACAGACAACCAGGAGGUUGGCUUAGAAGCAGCCACCCUUGAAAGAGUGCGUAAUAGCUCACUGGUCUAGUGAUUCCGCGCCGACAAUGUAGCGGGGCUCAAGCGUACCGCCGAAGUCGUGUCAUUGCAGCAUUGAGGGCCAACGCCCGCUGUGAUGGGUAGGGGAGCGUCGUCUGCCGGGUGAAGCAGCACCGGAAGGUAGUUGUGGACGGUUGACGAGUGAGAAUGCAGGCAUGAGUAGCGAUACAAACGUGAGAAACGUUUGCGCCGAUUGACUAAGGGUUCCUGGGUCAAGCUGAUCUGCCCAGGGUAAGUCGGGACCUAAGGCGAGGCCGACAGGCGUAGUCGAUGGAUAACCGGUUGAUAUUCCGGUACCCGCUGUGAAGCGUCAAACAUCGAGCAUCGUGAUGCUAAGGCCGUGAAGCCGCCCUGAUCUCUUCGGAGUUGAGGGGAGUGGUGGAGCCGCUGAACCAAGCGGUUAGUAGGUGAGUGAUGGGGUGACGCAGGAAGGUAGUCCAUCCCGGGCGGUGGUUGUCCCGGGGUAAGGGUGUAGGCCGGUGUGCAGGUAAAUCCGCGCACCUUGUGGCUGAGACCUGAUGCCGAGCCGAUUGUGGUGAAGUGGAUGAUCCUAUGCUGUCGAGAAAAGCCUCUAGCGAGUUUCAUGGCGGCCCGUACCCUAAACCGACUCAGGUGGUCAGGUAGAGAAUACCGAGGCGUUCGGGUGAACUAUGGUUAAGGAACUCGGCAAAAUGCCCCCGUAACUUCGGGAGAAGGGGGGCCAUUCCUGGUGACGGGCUUUGCGCCUUGAGCUGGGGGUGGCCGCAGAGACCAGCGAGAAGCGACUGUUUACUAAAAACACAGGUCCGUGCGAAGCCGUAAGGCGAUGUAUACGGACUGACGCCUGCCCGGUGCUGGAACGUUAAGGGGACCGGUUAGCUUCACUUCGGUGGGGCGAAGCUGAGAACUUAAGCGCCAGUAAACGGCGGUGGUAACUAUAACCAUCCUAAGGUAGCGAAAUUCCUUGUCGGGUAAGUUCCGACCUGCACGAAUGGCGUAACGACUUCUCGACUGUCUCAACCAUAGGCCCGGUGAAAUUGCACUACGAGUAAAGAUGCUCGUUUCGCGCAGCAGGACGGAAAGACCCCGGGACCUUUACUACAGUUUGAUAUUGGUGUUCGGUUCGGCUUGUGUAGGAUAGCUGGGAGACUUUGAAGCAUGCACGCCAGUGUGUGUGGAGUCGUCGUUGAAAUACCAGUCUGGUCGUGCUGGAUGUCUAACCUGGGUCCGUGAUCCGGAUCAGGGACAGUGUCUGAUGGGUAGUUUAACUGGGGCGGUUGCCUCCCAAAGGGUAACGGAGGCGCCCAAAGGUUCCCUCAGCCUGGUUGGUAAUCAGGUGUUGAGUGUAAGUGCACAAGGGAGCUUGACUGUGAGACCGACGGGUCGAGCAGGGACGAAAGUCGGGACUAGUGAUCCGGCGGUGGCUUGUGGAAGCGCCGUCGCUCAACGGAUAAAAGGUACCCCGGGGAUAACAGGCUGAUCUUCCCCAAGAGUCCAUAUCGACGGGAUGGUUUGGCACCUCGAUGUCGGCUCGUCGCAUCCUGGGGCUGGAGUCGGUCCCAAGGGUUGGGCUGUUCGCCCAUUAAAGCGGUACGCGAGCUGGGUUUAGAACGUCGUGAGACAGUUCGGUCCCUAUCCGCUGUGCGCGUAGGAGUCUUGAGAAGGGCUGUCCCUAGUACGAGAGGACCGGGACGGACGAACCUCUGGUGUGCCAGUUGUCCUGCCAAGGGCAUGGCUGGUUGGCUACGUUCGGGAGGGAUAACCGCUGAAAGCAUCUAAGCGGGAAGCCUGCUUCGAGAUGAGGACUCCCACCCACUUGAUGGGGUAAGGCUCCCAGUAGACGACUGGGUUGAUAGGCCGGAUAUGGAAGCCAGGUGACUGGUGGAGUUGACCGGUACUAAUAGGCCGAGGGCUUGUCCUC